AGAAUGAUGGCCUCUGCUUGCAAGCUAUCGCUCGAGGAUGGGGCCCGCGGCCCCAUUAGCUAGUUGGUGAGGUAACGGCUCACCAAGGCAAUGAUGGGUAGCUGGUCUGAGAGGAUGAUCAGCCACACUGGGACUGAGACACGGCCCAGACUCCUACGGGAGGCAGCAGUGGGGAAUUUUUUUGGGCAAUGGGCGAAAGCCUGACCCAGCAACGCCGCGUGCAGGAUGAAGGCCCUCGGGUCGUAAACUGCUGUCGGGAGGGAAGAAAAGCCGCGGUGAGAACAUUGCCGCAGCCUGACGGUACCUCCAAAGGAAGCGCCGGCUAACUCCGUGCCAGCAGCCGCGGUAA
This 349-nucleotide ribosomal RNA is filed under the name uncultured Green Bay ferromanganous micronodule bacterium MND4. RNAcentral's name for it is "bacterial SSU rRNA". It matches the Rfam family "Bacterial small subunit ribosomal RNA", at positions 201 to 523 of the family's 1533-position model. Lineage: Bacteria; Deltaproteobacteria. The record is from RNAcentral.